Molecule: ribosomal RNA, 439 nt
Filed under: uncultured bacterium
Lineage: Bacteria
Description: partial 16S ribosomal RNA
Rfam family: Bacterial small subunit ribosomal RNA
Source: RNAcentral
CUACGGGUCGCUGCAGUGGGGAAUAUUGCACAAUGGGGGAAACCCUGAUGCAGCAACGCCGCGUGGAGGAUGACACAUUUCGGUGCGUAAACUCCUUUUAUAUGAGAAGAUAAUGACGGUAUCAUAUGAAUAAGCUCCGGCUAACUCCGUGCCAGCAGCCGCGGUAAUACGGGGGGAGCAAGCGUUACUCGGAAUUACUGGGCGUAAAGCGCAUGUAGGCGGAUAGAAAAGUCAGAAGUGAAAUCCUAUAGCUUAACUAUAGAACUGCUUCUGAAACUCUCUAUCUAGAAUGUGGGAGAGGUAGAUGGAAUUUCUGGUGUAGGGGUAAAAUCCGUAGAGAUCAGAAGGAAUACCGAUUGCGAAGGCGAUCUACUGGAACAAUAUUGACGCUGAGAUGCGAAAGCGUGGGGAGCAAACAGGAUUAGAUACCCCGGUAGUC